RNAcentral lists this ribosomal RNA (115 nucleotides) under Danio rerio (zebrafish). Lineage: Eukaryota; Metazoa; Chordata; Actinopteri; Cypriniformes; Danionidae. The record is from RNAcentral.
GCCGGCAGCUAGCUCUCUGCAACUCUCACAUGGUCGCCCACUGAAACUAAGCAGGGCUGCGCCCGGUCAGUACCUGGAUGCGAGACCACAUGGGAAAGCUAGGUUGCUGCUGGAA